Long non-coding RNA from Podarcis muralis (Common wall lizard), 935 nucleotides. RefSeq lists it as uncharacterized. The record is from RefSeq and is a predicted model, not a curated record. Lineage: Eukaryota; Metazoa; Chordata; Lepidosauria; Squamata; Lacertidae.
GUCACUUUCGAUCCCUUAUUUGCAUAACUAUCUACAGUAUCCCCCUGCUGGCCCAGGGUGAGAACUUCAGUACAUGACAACAGUAACUUUAACCCUUUGGGGACAUCGCAUAGCAUGGAGCGAGGGUGAAAGCUGAUACCCUGGCCUUUGCCCACCUUGGGGGCUCCUACUGGCUCUGCCCCUGCCCUGGGCAUAUUUUAGGACUCCCUUUUGUUCUGUGUUUGUAAGUUGCUUUAAACUGGGAUCUUAGGAUGAAGGGUGAGAUGAAGAUCAUGAUAAUAAUGAUAGGAUAGGAUAGGAUAGGGAGAGGACCCUGGACAGCAUUACUGAUGAUGAUUAUGAUGAUUAUAUUAAUUAAAUUGAUACACCAUCCUUCAUCUGAAGAUCACAGCAUGCGGACUCAACAGUGCAUGUGACCAUACUACUUUUUCAUAUGCUGCUACCCACAAAGAAAGGAAAAUGCCUAAGACUUCGAGCUGUAAUCAAUGUGAUAAAACCGUGCAAUGAAUCAUUUCCAUCCAGCUGUUCAAAUAAAAGCACCAAAUUCAUCCUGGUGUCUGCACAUCUUUUAGUGCUCACUCCACGAACAAAUAAAUAAUUUUGCUUGUUAACCUUCGCAACAAAGGAGAGGGGGGGGGGAGCCAUACCUGGGGAAGCUCUGCCAAAGUCAGGGAAAGGAAUCUCCGUCCUCAGAAGAAAAUUGCGCAGAAACAGACAGUGCUUCCAGCUCUUCAUUUGCCAUCUGCAGUGCCUGCCGGAAGAGUCAAACGAGGUUGCGUCUUGUGGGUGUCCUUGAAGAAAGUACGGGGAAGGCUGCUCUCACAGGAAAUUCAUCACCCAAUUCAACAACUUAUUAUUGGAGACAGCUGUGAUUGAACCCCUACAAGGAGGGAUGUCAGAACAGAACUGAACUGAAGGGUUCAGCCAGCCUGCCU